This 2946-nucleotide long non-coding RNA is filed under the name Nicotiana tabacum (common tobacco). Its description in RNAcentral is "long non-coding RNA (NTAB_LNC015113)". The record is from RNAcentral. Lineage: Eukaryota; Viridiplantae; Streptophyta; Magnoliopsida; Solanales; Solanaceae.
UUACCUACCUAAAAUAAACCCAAACGACCCCCUUAUCCUAAAUCAUUUCCACCAACCCACCGCCCUUGAAUCCCUUCCUCUUCAAUUCUCUCAGUAACCUCACCUAAACCCUAGCCGCCGCCACCCAAACCUACCCUAAUCCCCUUUGAUUUUCACCUAAUCCACGGACUCCCAUGGUUGUUUGAGAGGUGUACCGGUCUCCUAUGGCUCCUGGUUGUUUAUUUCCAUGAUUUCAUGGACAGAUAAAGAGAUCUAGUCUAGUCUUGGCUCGACUUCUAUCCAUGGCCUCUUUCCGGCCAUCAAUGGUUGUUCGAGUUAGAUCCUUGACUUUUCUGGCUAGAUCGGUAACUUUUCAAAGUCUUUCUCACUUUUUCUGGGUUCUCUGAAACCCUAGAUUUAAGAGCUUUCUGAUUUUCUUUUAGAUCUGUCUUAGAUCUAUGCAUGUUAUGAACUUCUUGGUGUUUUCUCAAAGGUUCUUCGAUUUUCCUUCAAAGUGACUCUUCGUUUUCAAAUUAGGGUUUCUUAAACUCUUUUUAAAAGAUCGCUCCUUUGAUUUUCAAUGUUGUUUUAUGAUUUCACUAUGUUUAAACGGUUUGUUCAUGCUGUUCUUCUACCUGGUUCAUCGUGUUAAAACCCUAGGUAUUUUUGGUUUUAUCCGGGUUUUGUAGCUGUCUUUGCUUGUUUGUAUGAAUACUUGUUUCGAUUAAGUUCUUUAUGUUUGGAUCCUCUUCUUUGUUGAUUGAUUCAGAGUUCUUACCAUUUUUUAACUCGACUACUAUUAAAAUCCUAAUUUCUUAAAAGGGUUUUCCUCACUCAUUACUAUGAGGUUAAAGGUUUCUUUAAGUGUUUCUGACCUUCUUACCGGUUAGUUUGGUUUUUUCACUCUGGUUCUAUGUGACUACUCGACUUUGUUGACUAAUGUGCUUCGAGUAGGUUUCUUUUACUACUGAAUCCUAGCCUACUCCUACUACUACUGUAUGUUUGUGUUGCUUCUUCUGGCAAUAUGGUUGGCCUUGCAUGUCUGAUACUCUUGAUCAUUCUUCUCUAUUUAUAUGGCAAAGUGCAGAAUCAUAAUUCAUUCUUGAUUUAUCUUGAUUUCCUCAAGUUACGACUGAUUGCAAAUAUUUUCUCAUAAACCCCUGGUUUCACUCGUUUUGUUUGAAUUGAUUGAUUCCUUCCCUUUGUUGUGCUAUUUUACCUUUGCUGAACCCUUUACCCAAUUAAGUAUAUUUUGUAUUUAGACUCAAUUAUUUACUCUAUACUUUUAAUAUCCCCCAUAUAGUCAGAAAUCAAUCUUUCUCAAAUUAGUUUUCUUUCCUUAAUUAUUCCUGCCAGUAUCCGUUUGAACAGUAAUUCCUUAAUUAAAGGAAAGUACUUGUAUUAAUUGAUUCUAAUUGUGAUUAUUUCCAUGUUUGUGUUAAAACUCUACUUGUUACCUUAUUUUUCUACUCGUUUUCAAAGCUAUAAAUACCCUAUCCUCUCUUCUCUAAAGACACGAACUACUGAGUUCAGAACACACACUUACACACUCAAAACUCUUUCUUUCUCAACUUCUACUUGUGCUACUGCUUUGUCUAGCAAGCUGAAAACCAAGGCUAGACUGUGGAAUCCUACUUGCUUUACCUUUCUACACCUUGCUUUCUCUACUCGUAUGUCCUAGUUUAAUGUUAAAGCUUCAACAACAACAUGCUUCUUUAAUUUAUUUCAGCUUCUUUCAUUUUUUGUCUACUCCUGCUUGUAGUUCUGUUAAGAUGCAUUACUAGCAUAUUAUAAUGUAUCCCUUUCCCCUUUAGAUUAAUGCACUUCCCCUAUGUGUGUUUCAAGGCAUACUAUGUCAGUCACUUAUUGUGUACUUGCUAUCCCAAGUCCCUAUCCCUUCAAUGUGCUUAUAUUCUUUCUGACUAGCAUGUGAUCAUGCCAGUAUCAACUAUUGCUGUGCAUAUCCAACUAGUCCUAAGACCCUGGGGGGGGGGGGGGGGGGGGUUAUGUGUUUACAAUUAAAUGUAUGUGUGUCCCAAACCCCUUGACCCCCCUUGUAUAACUACUAAUUCUGUGUGUGAUCCCAUCUUGGGAGUUUGAGUUUUGUUUACUAUUACAACUGCUUUCAGGCAGGACAUGGUACGAGUGCAGAUUUUCGAGGACAUAGCCCUUGAUAGGAAGGCCUGGAGGUCAAGCAAUAGGGUUGUAAGAUAGGGGUAGUAAAGCUUCCCUUACUUGAUACCGGGGGUGAGGCGGGGUUGGAUUAGGGUUGAUCUUAGAUGGCUUGCAGUUUAUGUUGAAUCCACACUAUUCUUGAUGUUUAUCUUAAGCCCAAGCCUUAAAUUCUGGUUACUGUUAAUGCAUGUCAUUCAUCUUUUGGUUUUUAUGCUUCUGUUACUAUUACGGUUUCUACUGGUGUUACUAAUGAAUUCUCUUUUCUUGUUUUUUAUUUUAUUUUCAUCUCUCUGAGCCGAGGGUCUAUCGAAAAUAGUCUCUCUACCCCUAUCGGGGUAGGGGUAAGGUCUGUGUACACAUUACCCUCCCCAGACCCCACUAUGCGGGAUUUUACUGGGUAGUUGUUAUUGUUGUUGUUGUUGUACAACUGCUUUCAAUCACCUCUGUUACUGAUUACUUUCAAAAUGGACUUGCAAGUUCAGUUUUGAAAACAAACUCUCUUCCAAACUAUGUCAAGCACUCUCACCUACUCUUAGAAUCUAGGUUCUGCCCCUUUUGUGCGAGCCUUGCCUUGGGACCCUUGAGUUCCCUCUAGACUUGGACACAUAAGAGCUGGCCCUUCCACACUGCACUCAUUCUAUUUGGUUAUGCAAAUCUGGGUGUGAGCAUUGCCCGGGAUCCUUUGAGGUCCUUAGGAAACUCUGACACACUCAGAUAUGAGAAAGGCUUUGGAACGAUAUUGGCUUUUGAGGUGGUUCAUUACAUAACUCAGAGAGGAAGUCAAGAUCAGGC